CUCCCUCAACCCCGCGGGUUUGGUGUUGAGCAAUACGCCAGGUUUGUUUGAAAGACGUACGUGGAGACAAUAUUAGCGACUUAGGUUCUACCAAAACGCUUGUGCAGUCGGUCCCACACACAGUGUAAGCUAACA
RNAcentral lists this unclassified non-coding RNA (135 nucleotides) under Candida viswanathii. RNAcentral's name for it is "ITS2". The record is from RNAcentral. Lineage: Eukaryota; Fungi; Ascomycota; Pichiomycetes; Serinales; Debaryomycetaceae.